AUUGAACGCUGGCGGCAGGCUUAACACAUGCAAGUCGAGCGGUAACAUUUCUAGCUUGCUAGAAGAUGACGAGCGGCGGACGGGUGAGUAAUACUUAGGAAUCUACCUAGUAGUGGGGGAUAGCACGGGGAAACUCGUAUUAAUACCGCAUACGACCUACGGGAGAAAGGGGGCAGUUUACUGCUCUCGCUAUUAGAUGAGCCUAAGUCGGAUUAGCUAGAUGGUGGGGUAAAGGCCUACCAUGGCGACGAUCUGUAGCUGGUCUGAGAGGAUGAUCAGCCACACCGGGACUGAGACACGGCCCGGACUCCUACGGGAGGCAGCAGUGGGGAAUAUUGGACAAUGGGGGAAACCCUGAUCCAGCCAUGCCGCGUGUGUGAAGAAGGCCUUUUGGUUGUAAAGCACUUUAAGCAGUGAAGAAGACUCCUCGGUUAAUACCCGUGGACGAUGACAUUAGCUGCAGAAUAAGCACCGGCUAACUCUGUGCCAGCAGCCGCGGUAAUACAGAGGGUGCAAGCGUUAAUCGGAAUUACUGGGCGUAAAGGGAGCGUAGGUGGCUCGAUAAGUCAGAUGUGAAAUCCCCGGGCUCAACCUGGGAACUGCAUCUGAUACUGUUGAGCUAGAGUAUGUGAGAGGAAGGUAGAAUUCCAGGUGUAGCGGUGAAAUGCGUAGAGAUCUGGAGGAAUACCGAUGGCGAAGGCAGCCUUCUGGCAUAAUACUGACACUGAGGCUCGAAAGCGUGGGUAGCAAACAGGAUUAGAUACCCUGGUAGUCCACGCCGUAAACGAUGUCUACUAGUCGUUGGGUCCCUUGAGGACUUAGUGACGCAGCUAACGCAAUAAGUAGACCGCCUGGGGAGUACGGCCGCAAGGUUAAAACUCAAAUGAAUUGACGGGGGCCCGCACAAGCGGUGGAGCAUGUGGUUUAAUUCGAUGCAACGCGAAGAACCUUACCUGGUUUUGACAUAUCUAGAAUCCUGCAGAGAUGCGGGAGUGCUUUCGGGAAUUAGAAUACAGGUGCUGCAUGGCUGUCGUCAGCUCGUGUCGUGAGAUGUUGGGUUAAGUCCCGCAACGAGCGCAACCCUUGUCCUUAGUUACCAGCGGGUUAAGCCGGGAACUCUAAGGAUACUGCCAGUGACAAACUGGAGGAAGGCGGGGACGACGUCAAGUCAUCAUGGCCCUUACGACCAGGGCUACACACGUGCUACAAUGGUAGGUACAGAGGGCAGCUACACAGCGAUGUGAUGCGAAUCUCAAAAAGCCUAUCGUAGUCCAGAUUGGAGUCUGCAACUCGACUCCAUGAAGUAGGAAUCGCUAGUAAUCGCGGAUCAGAAUGCCGCGGUGAAUACGUUCCCGGGCCUUGUACACACCGCCCGUCACACCAUGGGAGUUGAUUGCACCAGAAGUGGAUAGCUUAACCUUCGGGAAGGCGUUCACCACGGUGUGGUUGAUGACUGGGGUG
Molecule: ribosomal RNA, 1461 nt
Filed under: uncultured bacterium
Lineage: Bacteria
Description: bacterial SSU rRNA
Rfam family: Bacterial small subunit ribosomal RNA
Source: RNAcentral